CAUUAAGAAGCUAAGCUAGCGUUAACCUUUUAAGUUAGAGAUUGGGAACCAUAUGUACCCCUUAA
Molecule: transfer RNA, 65 nt
Filed under: Phocoena spinipinnis (Burmeister's porpoise)
Lineage: Eukaryota; Metazoa; Chordata; Mammalia; Artiodactyla; Phocoenidae
Description: tRNA-Lys
Source: RNAcentral